Molecule: long non-coding RNA, 1653 nt
Filed under: Mytilus galloprovincialis (Mediterranean mussel)
Lineage: Eukaryota; Metazoa; Mollusca; Bivalvia; Mytilida; Mytilidae
Source: RNAcentral
AAUUUGAAAAAAAAAAUUGAGUCUGAUUAAUUCAAUCAUAUCAUUUCCAACUCUAAAGGGAUAAAAUGUUCAAAACACUUCAAACUUGUGUGAUAGUGAAAAAGAAAUCUGUCAUGUUUAUUUUAAUUUUGUAUAUAUUAUAAAAUAAUUGUUGCUGUAUAUUUUAUUUUUCAUCACAUUUUAUAAUGCAAAUAGGAUAGACCUGACAAAAUGAUGACCAAUUUGGUCAAAACAAUUAUUAAGCACUGUAUAUUUAUUUUAUUUUCACAAUAAAUACAAGUACAUGACAGGUUAAAAUUAGAAUAGGGUGUAUAUUUCGUCGUUAUGAUUGUUUUUCAGAAGCUGUUUUUUUCUCUUUCAGUUUUUGGGUAAUAUAGGCAAAUCUUAGGUGAAAUUCUAAUUAAUCUUGAUUGUUAUAAAAACAAAUUAUUUAUCAAAACAUCUAUUAAUAUUUGCAAGAGGGAAUAGAAGGAAUAGUAUUUUUAAAAAGUGGGAAUAGGAGGAAGAAACCACUUAAAAAAAACAUUAUCAUUUGAGUAGCUUGGGUUAAAAAAAUUAUCACACAGAAAGAUCAAAGCAAAAUUUAAGAAAAUGGUGAUAAAAAAGUUUUGUGAAGUAAGCAUUUCAACAUUUGUGUGUAAAUUUCACUACAAACCAUUAAAGUCUGAAAUGGCCUAUAUCUGUACUCGACUGUACUGAUUUUUACUCGACCAGUCUGAAUUGGUCUGACUUUUACUUGACAUUACUCGACCCCAGUCUGAACUAUACUUGACUGUACUGAAUCGUACUUGACCCUUAUCUUUGCCGUUGAAAAUAGUCUGAACUAUUACUCGACCAGUCUGAAACAGUCUUAACCCAUUCUCGACAUGUACUCGACCUAAUUUUCGAGUCUAAACCAUACUUAACCAAAGGUCUGAACAGUACUCGACCAGUCUGAACCAUACUAGACCAAAAAAAAAACUCUACUUUUUUAACUAUUAAAAUAAAUUUCUUUUUAACUGACAUAUAUAACAACAGCCAACAAAAUUUAUAUUUUUGUUAACUUUAUAUUAGAAAUAUAUCUAUGAUUAUAUUUAGGAUGAAAAAAAAUAUAUUAUAUAUAACUUAUAUCAAAAAGGGAUAAAAUUAAAUAAAAAAAUUAAUUUGUUUUUCUGAUUAGUGGUGAAAUAUAAAGAAUAACCUCUGCUUGGGGGCAAACUCAUAAAUAAGAUCACACCUGGUCAGAGGUAUUAAAUUCUAAAUAACAUUGAUUCAAAAUUGCAACAUCCUGUUUAAGUUAAAUAACAAGGCCUUUCGAAUAUACAUGUAUGUACUAGACAAGUAAUACAAGAAUUUAAGAAAAUAGGGCUUUCUUUUUACCUGUAAAACACACAUGUACUGAGGUAAUUAGAACAUAUUAAAGUGCUUUAUGUAUGCCAUGUUAAUUUGACAAAAAAAUUACUUUAAUUAAUUGAAAUAAAUGUUUACUGUUACUUUGGAAUACAUUUCCAUUUUUAAAAAGGUUAUCAAGGAUUGCUAUGGAAAUUCUCUUAUCAUGAUUACAUUAAAUUCUUGUUUAAUAAAACAAAAUAAUUAAGCUCUCAUUUUUUAAAAUUUAUUAAGUUGUUUUAUACACUAUUUUAUAUACACGAUUUAUAUAUUAAUAAAAAAAAA